AGUGACAGCUGUUUUUGUCCUUUAAUGGGAGGGUAUGAACACAUUUGAGGACAACUGUAUUUACUUUUUAUGGAGUUACCCAUCUUUGCAGUAGUACAGCAGUUUUCUCACAUUACCAGCUUCGUUCCUCAUCACAGAGCGGCCGCACGCUCAGGCAGCACAGGCCGCCUGCUGAUGGUAGGAUCACUGGUUUAAUCACCUGACAGCGACCUUAAAGACACAGCUCCCAAUAAGACUUCAUUGUGUUUAUAUGUAAGAGUGAGUAAGUGGUAGUGUAAAGUGCUUCUUCUGUUCUCUGGUUGGUAAUAUUCCUCAUUUUCUAUAAUGCUUCCUGUAAUGUAAUUGUAUAUUUUAGCACGUAUUCAUGCAACAAUGUAAAAUUCCUACAGGUAAGUAUACCAUUAAACUUAUAUUAAAAAAAAAAUACAAUUUUGAAUAUUUUGUUCAAAGUAAGCAGUUCAUGUGAAUGUCUGGAUGCCAACAACUGCUUCUAAUUUUAGCAAAAGUAAUUUCUUAACUACAGUCUAUAUAAUUAAUACCAAAAUAGAUUGUUCUGUCCAAGAGAAUUUCAAGAUCUUAUGAAAUAAUCCUCAACAAACAAGGUCUGAGUGUUAAAAAAAAAUAAAUCUGAAUAUGUUGUCACACAAAAUAACCCAUUUCAUUUUGUUUAUGACAAAAUAUAUCCAUUAAGGAGUACUUUAAACCCAAUAAAAUUAUAAUUUGAGCA
Long non-coding RNA from Stegastes partitus (bicolor damselfish), 727 nucleotides. RefSeq lists it as uncharacterized. NCBI's taxonomy places the organism in Eukaryota, Metazoa, Chordata, Actinopteri, Pomacentridae. The transcript has 2 exons. The record is from RefSeq and is a predicted model, not a curated record.